GUGUCAGCAGCCGCGGUAAGACGAACCGUGCAAACGUUGUUCGGAAUCACUGGGCUUAAAGGGCGCGUAGGCGGGUGAGCAAGUCCGGGGUGAAAUCUUUCGGCUUAACCGGAAAAGUGCCUUGGAUACUGCUCGUCUGGAGGAAGGUAGGGGCAGGUGGAACUUCUGGUGGAGCGGUGAAAUGCGUUGAUAUCAGAAGGAACGCCGGUGGCGAAAGCGACCUGCUGGACCUUUUCUGACGCUGAGGCGCGAAAGCUAGGGGAGCAAACGGGAUUAGAUACCCGCGUAGUCC
Molecule: ribosomal RNA, 292 nt
Filed under: uncultured bacterium
Lineage: Bacteria
Description: partial 16S ribosomal RNA
Rfam family: Bacterial small subunit ribosomal RNA
Source: RNAcentral